UACGGAGGGUGCAAGCGUUAUUCGGAAUUAUUGGGCGUAAAGGGCGUGUAGGCGGCCAGAUAAGUCAGAGGUGAAAGCCCGGGGCUCAACCCCGGAAGUGCCUUUGAAACUAUUUGGCUUGAGUGCGGGAGAGGCAAUCGGAAUUCUCGGUGUAGCGGUGAAAUGCGUAGAUAUCGAGAGGAACUCCGGUGACGAAGGUGGGUUGCUGGACCGACACUGACGCUGAGGCGCGAAAGCUAGGGGAGCAAACGGG
Molecule: ribosomal RNA, 253 nt
Filed under: uncultured bacterium
Lineage: Bacteria
Description: partial 16S ribosomal RNA
Rfam family: Bacterial small subunit ribosomal RNA
Source: RNAcentral